AUGUUAAUAUUAUUUGUAGAAGUAAAUAUUAAUUGGUUCCAAAAUGUGUGUCAACCGGAAGAGAUUCGAGCAGAGUAUUUGCACGACGCUUAGCCAUGAUGGCGACCAUGGUACACAUUUCCUUGACUAGCUCCUACAACGGCUGGGACAGGGACUCCCUGAGGCUGGCGAAUAGGAGCAACCACCAAAGCAGGAACCACCACGGCUGCAGGACGAGCGUAGGACACAGCCGGACGAGGUGCAGCCACAGAAGGACGAGGUACAGCCACAGCAGGACGAGCGUAGGACUCAGCAGGACGAGGUGCAGCCAGAGCAGGACGAGGUGCAGCCCAAUAGGGUCGUGCACCAGCCAACCCUUGGUCUUGACCGUAAGCAGAACCAACGGACUGGGACACAGACUGUUGUCCUUGCGAAAUGACUGCCGCUGGAGCACCAGAAUGGAUUGGCACCUCCGAUUGCUGCUCAAUGGGCAAAAGAUUUGAUCCUUGGGCCAGGACGAAUAUGGCGCUGAAGAUUAC
This 518-nucleotide long non-coding RNA is filed under the name Drosophila melanogaster (fruit fly). RNAcentral's name for it is "antisense RNA:CR46034 (Dmel_CR46034)". The record is from RNAcentral. Lineage: Eukaryota; Metazoa; Arthropoda; Insecta; Diptera; Drosophilidae.